This is a non-coding RNA of Rattus norvegicus (Norway rat), 257 nucleotides long. The record is from RefSeq and is a predicted model, not a curated record. Lineage: Eukaryota; Metazoa; Chordata; Mammalia; Rodentia; Muridae.
UAUUGAUAUGAGGCCUCCUAUGAAGGUCUGAUAGAAUUCUACACUAAACCUAUCUGGUCCUAGAUUAUCUAGCUCAAAAGCAGUGGAAGAUAACAAAAUAAGAACAUAAAUUGUAUGGGUAUCAACUUGGAAACAGUCUGAGAAGAGUUGGGGAAGGGAAAACAACACAUCAUUCAAUAUAUCAUAUGAAAAACAUUUUUAAAUAAAAAAUCAUGUAUUUCUACAUAAUGUGGAAGUAAUAAAAAGAUGGAUUUGAA